Molecule: ribosomal RNA, 432 nt
Filed under: uncultured bacterium
Lineage: Bacteria
Description: partial 16S ribosomal RNA
Rfam family: Bacterial small subunit ribosomal RNA
Source: RNAcentral
CCUACGGGAGGCAGCAGUGGGGAAUUUUGGACAAUGGGGGCAACCCUGAUCCAGCCAUGCCGCGUGAGUGAAGAAGGCCUUCGGGUUGUAAAGCUCUUCACGAAAACGUCUGGUACCCGAAGAAGAAGCACCGGCUAACUACGUGCCAGCAGCCGCGGUAAUACGUAGGGUGCGAGCGUUAAUCGGAAUUACUGGGCGUAAAGCGUGCGCAGGUGGUUUCGUAAGUCAGAUGUGAAAUCCCCGGGCUUAACCUGGGAAUGGCAUUUGAGACUGCGAAGCUAGAGUACGGCAGAGGGAGGUGGAAUUCCACGUGUAGCAGUGAAAUGCGUAGAUAUGUGGAGGAACACCGAUGGCGAAGGCAGCCUCCUGGGCCAGACUGACGCUCAUGCACGAAAGCGUGGGGAGCAAACAGGAUUAGAUACCCUUGUAGUC